GGUUAGAGGAUGGAAAUGAAUUGAAUUGUGGAGUAUUAUUAGGGUUUAUCAGUUCAAGAGGCAUACUAUUAAAACUUAAAAGCCCUGAUGAAUCAGAGAAUGGGCUUGAUCUUAGACCCAAUCGCAGUUGCAGAAACAUGAUACAAAUAUAUACAUAUAAAGCCCAGCUUGAUCGAACAGAGCGCGUCCAGUACACCACUUUUUAGUGCAAAUAGCCGAAAAGAGGACCGAAGGCUUUUCAGACCUGCAAAGCUAAGCGAAAAGAAAUGGCGGGAAAGGAAGAAGCUGCACCGUCUUCUGCUUCAAUGAAAAUGCAGGAUUCUCCAGUGUGUUGGCGAAAGCAGGUAGACGAUAACCUGAAGCGGCUCCACUCGCUUCAGUUCGGCGUCGACUUGGCUCUUGAGAGGCGCGACUUCUCUGCCGCUCAUGUCCUCGGGCUUCGCCUCCUCGGCUUCCUUGACUCGCAUUCUCUCACCGACGUUGAUGAGGCCCUCACUCGACCGAUCCGCCGUGAAGCUGUUUCCAAGCUUGACGCAGCUCGUCAAUCCCUUAUUCCUGAAUCUGAUCGCCGAGCAUUUGAACAGGCAGGCAGAGCUCCUGGCCAUGUGUUUAGCAGGAAAGGUGAUAUUGACAUUGAGAAGAUUAAGCAGUCAAAGUACUUCCGUGCUUUGCUUCACCAAUAUAAUAUAAGGCCAACAAAUGGAAUGGGAGACCAAUUGGAUGGGAAGGAGAGGUUGAUCUGCAAGACGUCAAAGGUCAUAACACAGACAAAGUUGACGUCCUUGUAUGGGAACAACAUCACAAAGGCAAAUACCGGUUCACAUACGAGUUCUAUCAACUCAAAAACAAACAACUCUGAUGAGUGCAUGGUCAUAGAAAGGGCUCAUUCAUAUCACAACCAUUCUAAAGGUCAUGGUCUCUAUGCUUGCAUAAAAAAUGAGGAGGAAGAAAGAGGUUUUGGAAAUGCUUUGGGAUCAAAACGUUCACAUGAGGAAAUCAAUAGCCCCAAAAAUGACAGUGCAAAGUCACCAUCAAGCAAUGAAGAAGCUAACACAGAUGCUUCUGGCAAUGGAUUCGUAACUGCAAGAGCAAAAUUGGAGAUGGAUGCAAGGCAAAGAAGAGGGUUGACAGGAUCACCCAGUGCAUCUGUCUCCCCACAAAGUGAUAACAUAAACAGGGGCUAUGGUGUGAGAUCAUAUGGCUUUUCACGACGUGGCAUUCGUGGUAACUUUGUUCCUCCAAUAAGAUCCAAUGGAGGCAGCAAUGGAAACACGACUACACGAGUUGCAGGAAAAAGCGAUGAUGCAUUAGAUGACUCAACAAGGAGAUGUUUGGAGAUGCUAUGUGGUGCUGAUGGUGAGCUUCCUGAAAAAUUGAGGAAUUUGGAACCUCGUCUUAUUGAGCAUGUUAGCAAUGAGAUUAUGGAUCGGGAUCCUAAUGUCCGGUGGGAUGACAUUGCUGGUCUGGAGCAUGCUAAAAAAUGUGUGACUGAGAUGGUCAUAUGGCCUUUAUUACGUCCUGACAUAUUUAAAGGUUGUCGUUCUCCAGGGAGAGGCCUUCUACUUUUCGGUCCACCAGGAACAGGUAAAACAAUGAUUGGUAAAGCUAUUGCUGGAGAGGCAAAAGCAACCUUUUUCUACAUAUCUGCCAGCUCAUUGACGAGCAAGUGGAUUGGCGAAGGUGAAAAAUUGGUGAGGGCCCUGUUUGGUGUUGCCAGCUGUCGCCAGCCUGCUGUAAUUUUUGUUGAUGAAAUAGAUUCACUUCUCUCUCAGCGCAAGUCUGAAGGUGAACAUGAAUCAAGUAGACGACUCAAAACACAGUUUCUCAUUGAAAUGGAAGGUUUCGAUAGUGGUAAUGAGCAAAUUCUGCUUAUAGGAGCAACAAAUCGACCCCAAGAACUUGAUGAAGCUGCACGGAGGCGACUCACUAAAAGACUUUAUAUCCCCUUGCCUUCAUCAGAGGCGAGAGCCUGGAUUGUGCGUAAUCUUCUAGAGAAGGAUGGUUUGUUCAAGCUUUCCAAGGAGGAAAUUGAUACCAUAUGCAAUCUGACAGAAGGGUAUUCAGGAUCAGACAUGAAAAACCUAGUGAAAGAUGCAUCCAUGGGUCCAUUGAGAGAAGCUCUUAAACAGGGCAUAGAAAUUACUAAACUCAAAAAGGAGGAUAUGCGGCCGGUUACCCUUCAGGACUUCGAAAAGGCUUUGCAAGAAGUGAGACCCUCUGUUUCUUCGAGUGAACUCGGCACAUAUGAUCAAUGGAACAAACAAUUUGGAAGCUUGUCACUCUAGGAUAGGAUAGUCUGAAAACUGUAGAGUAAAAGCAAGAUGCAAAAACCAUCUAUGAGUGGUGGUGUGCAUACACCUGGUGUAGCAAUACAUUGCUGAUCCCUAUUACACUUCUUCAAUGUACCUUAAUAAUAUUUGUGAAGUGCACUAAUACACACAGGAUUGGUUGGUUCUAGUAACACUGAUUUUCUGUCUUUUGGCAAAAUAAGAGAUUAUUAGGCUGCAAGUGCAUAUAAAGCAGG
This 2524-nucleotide unclassified non-coding RNA is filed under the name Hevea brasiliensis (rubber tree). Lineage: Eukaryota; Viridiplantae; Streptophyta; Magnoliopsida; Malpighiales; Euphorbiaceae. The record is from RNAcentral.